AAUCUUGGACAAUGGGCGCAAGCCUGAUCCAGCCAUGCCGCGUGAGUGAUGAAGGCCCUAGGGUCGUAAAGCUCUUUCGCCAGGGAUGAUAAUGACAGUACCUGGUAAAGAAACCCCGGCUAACUCCGUGCCAGCAGCGCGGUAAUACGGAGGGGUUAGCGUUGUUCGGAAUUACUGGGCGUAAAGCGCGCGUAGGCGGAUUAGUCAGUUAGAGGUGAAAUCCCAGGGCUCAACCCUGGAACUGCCUUUAAUACUGCUAGUCUUGAGUUCGAGAGAGGUGAGUGGAAUUCCGAGUGUAGAGGUGAAAAUUCGUAGAUAUUCGGAGGAACACCAGUGGCGAAGGCGGCUCACUGGCUCGAUACUGACGCUGAGGUGCGAAAGUGUGGGGAGCAAACAGGAUUAGAUACCCUGGUAG
RNAcentral lists this ribosomal RNA (415 nucleotides) under uncultured bacterium. RNAcentral describes it as "bacterial SSU rRNA". It matches the Rfam family "Bacterial small subunit ribosomal RNA", at positions 360 to 793 of the family's 1533-position model. The record is from RNAcentral.